This 471-nucleotide ribosomal RNA is filed under the name uncultured Alphaproteobacteria bacterium. RNAcentral describes it as "bacterial SSU rRNA". It matches the Rfam family "Bacterial small subunit ribosomal RNA", at positions 9 to 524 of the family's 1533-position model. Lineage: Bacteria; Pseudomonadati; Pseudomonadota; Alphaproteobacteria. The record is from RNAcentral.
GAGUUUGAUCGUGGCUCAGAAUCAACGCUGGCGGCAGGCCUAACACAUGCAAGUCGAGCGGCCGUAGCAAUACGGCAGCGGCAGACGGGAGAGUAACACGUGGGAACGUACCCUUUGGUUCGGAACAACACAGGGAAACUUGUGCUAAUACCGGAUAAGUCCGCAAGGAGAAAGAUUUAUCGCCGAAGGAUCGGCCCGCGUCUGAUUAGCUUGUUGGUGAGGUAAUGGCUCACCAAGGCGACGAUCAGUAGCUGGUCUGAGAGGAUGAUCAGCCUCACUGGGACUGAGACACGGCCCAGACUCCUACGGGAGGCAGCAGUGGGGAAUAUUGGACAAUGGGCGCAAGCCUGAUCCAGCCAUGCCGCGUGGAUGAUGAAGGCCCUAGGGUUGUAAAGUCCUUUCGGCGGGGAAGAUAAUGACGGUACCCGCAGAAGAAGCCCCGGCUAACUUCGUGCCAGCCGCCGCUGUAAG